Labeo rohita (rohu) is the source of this 408-nucleotide non-coding RNA. The record is from the annotation of a RefSeq genome assembly. NCBI's taxonomy places the organism in Eukaryota, Metazoa, Chordata, Actinopteri, Cypriniformes, Cyprinidae.
AUGAAGUGUCACUUGAAGUAUGUAGUGGCGGCACAGGUUCUGCCAGGUGUCAGUUUUGGGAAUGUCCUCACACCAGUCCAAACUGAGGUGUUUGGGACAGAGGGAGACAAUAUAACUUUGUCCUAUAACUACUCCUCAGCUAUUAGUCUGCAGUGGUAUCGCCAAUAUCCAAACUCAGCUCCUGAAUACCUUUUAGUCAUAUUGGAUGCUACAGGGAAAGUUUCUCAAAAGUCUAAAAUUGUAGAUCAAGAUCCUCGAUUCACUGGAAAACUGAAUGAAAAGAAAACCCAAGUGAUUCUGGAAAUCUCGUCUGCUAAAGUGACAGACUCUGCGAUGUACUACUGUGCCCUGACGCCCACAUUGACAGGAAAACACUACACACCAUACAAAAACCUGACUGACUCUUAA